This 77-nucleotide transfer RNA is filed under the name bacterium. RNAcentral describes it as "tRNA-Pro". It matches the Rfam family "tRNA". From Rfam's summary of the family: Transfer RNA (tRNA) molecules are approximately 80 nucleotides in length. The record is from RNAcentral.
CGGAGUGUAGCGCAGUCUGGUAGCGCAUCUGCUUUGGGAGCAGAGGGUCGUUGGUUCGAAUCCAGCUACUCCGACCA